CUGUCUUAGUGGCGGACGGGUGAGUAACGCGUGGCAACCUGCCCUGUACCGGGGGAUAACACUUAGAAAUAGGUGCUAAUACCGCAUAAUAGGGAAUACCGCAUGGUAAUCCUUUGAAAACUCCGGUGGUACAGGAUGGGCCCGCGUCUGAUUAGCCAGUUGGCGGGGUAACGGCCCACCAAAGCGACGAUCAGCAGCCGGCCUGAGAGGGUGGACGGCCACACUGGGACUGAGACACGGCCCAGACUCCUACGGAAGGCAGCAG
RNAcentral lists this ribosomal RNA (265 nucleotides) under uncultured bacterium. RNAcentral describes it as "partial 16S ribosomal RNA". It matches the Rfam family "Bacterial small subunit ribosomal RNA", at positions 87 to 354 of the family's 1533-position model. The record is from RNAcentral.